Molecule: non-coding RNA, 166 nt
Filed under: bovine gut metagenome
Description: Lysine riboswitch
Rfam family: Lysine riboswitch aptamer
About the family: Riboswitches are metabolite binding domains within certain messenger RNAs that serve as precision sensors for their corresponding targets. Allosteric rearrangement of mRNA structure is mediated by ligand binding, and this results in modulation of gene expression.
Source: RNAcentral
CGAAAGAGGUGCGGUGUCCAUCAGUAGCCUCCGGCAGGGCAGGCAGCCGCCGGAGGGGAAAGGGGCCACCGCCGAAGCGUCGGUCCCCGUGCCUGCGGGGCCGCCGCUGGGGUCAUGGAGAAGAUCCAUGGCACUGUCACGGAGGGUAAGACGUGGAGCGCUGUCG